UAACACUUCAGCUCUGGCCAGGGUUUCUGCAACGUUAACUUCUUUCAAACCAAUGAACAGCCCCUGAAGUGGGCAAUGUGAAGCUACUUGCUUGAGGAAGGAUGUAGAGUUCAGAAAGCUCCAGCAACUUGCUCAAGAUCACACAGCAAGUUAAUGGUCAAGCUCGAAACGAGGAUCAAGACUCCAAACUUCCAGUACAAUUGGAGGCAGCAAGACGGCCGGGCCUGGGCUGAGAGAAGCGGUUCGAGCCUCCUCUUUGUACACAUGUUUGACUUGGAGCUGGUUCCUGAUCAGUACAGCCGCAGAAGCAGUUACAAAGAACCCUGGCAAUCUGGCUUUUCCUGGACUUCCCCGCUCAUGCCAAUCACUGGCUGUUAUAACCUUCAUAUCUGAACAGGUUGGGAAUUCUUUAGAAAUGGCCUUAUUUGCCCUUCCUACAGUCCAGCCAGAACAGCAGCCGUAAGAAUGGCUUUGUGUUUCCUUGAGCUGUUGAUUGGAGGGUGUGAACAACAAGAGCUGAUUAGUCCUGGGCUUUGCCCUGAGACUGCCCAAAGUGGCACACGGGUAGUGGGGGCCAGGCUAGGGCCCAGGGCUCCUGGCAGCCCAGCAGUGCCUCUGCCCUCCCCUGUGCUGUUUCCAGGUGCUGUGUGUGUGUAUGUUUGGGGGUUGAUAUGAAUUACAAUCACAGUCCUCUCUCAAUGAGAAUGUCACAGGUGGCCACAAAAAUGGAUUCAGUGCUGGGCUCACUGUUAUUGGCCAGGGGAGUGGGGCUUGAAACCAGAGGAAAAGAGACCCAUUCCCUGGCCUCAGAGAUCCUGGUGUCAAUAAACAAGAAAGAUAAUAAUAUAAAGUAAGGCUGCUUAUAACUCCAGUGUGAGCUGAGGUCAUGUGUCCUUUGAGAUAAAAUAACCAUUGACUGGAGCCCUAUUUCUCCCUAGUGGGAAGGCUGAUGCCCUCCUAAGCUUUCCGCAAGUCCCCAGGGUAGUUGUCUUCCCUGGGUUCCUGCUCUCUCUGAGCCUGUUUGAUUUCAGGGUGACUGGACCCAUCUUUUCUUGUUUGCCCCCUGAACUGUCCCUCCAGGGAUCUGAGGGCCGAAGGUCUGGUAGCCGAUAAGGCAGCAAGGGUGACUUAACUGCUGGCCAGCCCUGGGCCUGAAGGCCCUUAGGCCACCCACCCUGAGAUCUCCUCUCUGGCCACCCCCAUUCACAGGCCCUAGAACCACAUUUGCAUUCUUGGUCCCUUGCCCUUAGAGUCCACUUUUCCACCUGUUGGGGCUCCCCUAGGAGUACAGUUUCUAUCACUGUGUCAUUAGGAACAGUGGAUUCUCUACCUCUAUGUAUGCUGAUCUCCUCGAACAUUCAAAUUCAUUAACGUGGAAUGCUAAGGAAAGGCCACCUGCUUUUUAAAUUUUGUUAUUGUU
Molecule: long non-coding RNA, 1420 nt
Organism: Capra hircus (goat)
Lineage: Eukaryota; Metazoa; Chordata; Mammalia; Artiodactyla; Bovidae
Exons: 3
Source: RefSeq, a predicted model, not a curated record